This 440-nucleotide ribosomal RNA is filed under the name uncultured Lutispora sp. RNAcentral describes it as "bacterial SSU rRNA". It matches the Rfam family "Bacterial small subunit ribosomal RNA", at positions 338 to 795 of the family's 1533-position model. The record is from RNAcentral. Lineage: Bacteria; Bacillati; Bacillota; Clostridia; Lutisporales; Lutisporaceae.
CCUACGGGGGGCUGCAGUGGGGAAUAUUGCACAAUGGGGGAAACCCUGAUGCAGCAACGCCGCGUGGAGGAAGAAGGUUUUCGGAUUGUAAACUCCUGUCUUUUGGGACGAUAAUGACGGUACCAAAAGAGGAAGCCACGGCUAACUACGUGCCAGCAGCCGCGGUAAUACGUAGGUGGCGAGCGUUGUCCGGAAUUACUGGGCGUAAAGGGCGCGUAGGCGGCUAAUCAAGUCAGAUGUGAAAACCCUAGGCUUAACCUGGGGAUUGCAUUUGAAACUGACUAGCUCGAGUGUCGGAGAGGAAAGCGGAAUUCCUAGUGUAGCGGUGAAAUGCGUAGAUAUUAGGAGGAACACCAGUGGCGAAGGCGGCUUUCUGGACGAUAACUGACGCUGAGGCGCGAAAGCGUGGGGAGCAAACAGGAUUAGAUACCCCGGUAGUC